GGAGAGCUGUCCGAGAGGCCGAAGGAGCACGAUUGGAAAUCGUGUAAGCCGCUAUCGUGGCUUCGAGGGUUCGAAUCCCUCGCUCUCCGCCA
Molecule: transfer RNA, 92 nt
Filed under: Oceanobacillus jeddahensis
Lineage: Bacteria; Bacillati; Bacillota; Bacilli; Caryophanales; Bacillaceae
Description: Oceanobacillus jeddahense tRNA-Ser
Rfam family: tRNA
About the family: Transfer RNA (tRNA) molecules are approximately 80 nucleotides in length. Their secondary structure includes four short double-helical elements and three loops (D, anti-codon, and T loops). Further hydrogen bonds mediate the characteristic L-shaped molecular structure. tRNAs have two regions of fundamental functional importance: the anti-codon, which is responsible for specific mRNA codon recognition, and the 3' end, to which the tRNAs corresponding amino acid is attached (by aminoacyl-tRNA synthetases). tRNAs cope with the degeneracy of the genetic code in two manners: having more than one tRNA (with a specific anti-codon) for a particular amino acid; and 'wobble' base-pairing, i.e. permitting non-standard base-pairing at the 3rd anti-codon position.
Source: RNAcentral